Rhodamnia argentea is the source of this 138-nucleotide long non-coding RNA. RefSeq lists it as uncharacterized. The transcript is spliced from 4 exons. The record is from RefSeq and is a predicted model, not a curated record. Lineage: Eukaryota; Viridiplantae; Streptophyta; Magnoliopsida; Myrtales; Myrtaceae.
GGAAUAUUAAUCAAGAAGAGUCCUGAUCUCAAGCUUGAGGCUUGUACAGAUGUGGAUUCUGAUGGAUCAAUGGUAAACAAGAGGUCUACAACUGGUUAUUGUACCUUCCUUGGAGGUAACUUGGAAAACUGGAGAAAU